Molecule: transfer RNA, 56 nt
Filed under: Thyreophagus entomophagus
Lineage: Eukaryota; Metazoa; Arthropoda; Arachnida; Sarcoptiformes; Acaridae
Description: tRNA-Thr
Source: RNAcentral
UCCUUUAAAGUUAUAUAGAACAUCGAUUUUGUAAAUCGAAAGAAUAUAUUAGGAAU